Molecule: long non-coding RNA, 1962 nt
Organism: Pecten maximus
Lineage: Eukaryota; Metazoa; Mollusca; Bivalvia; Pectinida; Pectinidae
Exons: 4
Source: RefSeq, a predicted model, not a curated record
AUGGCUGAAUGGGAAAUGAAAUUCCAGCGAUCAGUUGACUAGUAACAAAUAAAACGUCAAUAUGUAGCGGUGUGUACGGUGGGUCGAUGCUGAUGGCUGUACAUGUCAACAAGCGUUUAUAAGACCUGCUUAUCGUUAAUGUAUGCAGGACAACCAAGUCCUCCACAGCCUGUAGAAAUUACAACACUGAGAAACAGGUAGAUCCUGAACAAACAUCACAGGAUAGAAAUUGAUCCCGUACAACAAGUACCUAAUGUGUCGGCAGUACCUGUGUCACCCUAAAUCUGGUUUAUAUGUCCCAUGCCGGGUAGGUAUUCAGCUAUACGGAGAUCGAUAUUAUACAGGCUGACCCGACGACCUAUUCAGAUCAAUAUGUGAUGACCUGACUGUUCACCAGUACAACAUAGCUGUAUGUUUGUUUUAUGCAUCAAGUGAAACUGAUUGAUCAGAAAUGGGUGUAAGACUAAGGACCUUAGCAGACGAACAACAAUGGAGGUUUCUACAGAAGAAAACGGUAAAAGAUCGGCCCUUGGAUAUAGUACAACAUGCGACAUGCUGGCCAUAGCUGUGUUAAGAUGUUCAAGGCUUUGGAAGUAAGCAACCAAAGAUACAUCCAAGAACUAUUCCGACCACCAUGAGAAUUAUUGUAACACCUGAAGGGCAGGUGACCACCAUCAUGGCACAAAUCCUUCAUUCUCAUCUGAAUCGGGCAUCUCAGCAGCUCCAAAGUCAUGCAUCAUCUCCAAACUCUGGGCCAUCUGAUUGGAAGAUUCUGCAUCACCUGACCCUGUUGCAGCCUCCUCAUUGGUUGUUUCCUGUUUUGAAUCAGGUUCUUCAGUGCCUGGCACUGCCACUUUGACAGGCUCUUCCUCUCUUGGUGGUGAUGGACUACUUUCCUUCUUCGGAACAAAAAUGUGAAUGUCAUCAUCGCCCUGUCAAGUAAAAUGUUGCUAAAUUGUACACAGUUCCUGCAGUCUACCAAUUCAACAAUCAAGAAAAUACAUUGAACAGAAAACUGUGCCCACGUCUUUAGACCUUUCCUGACAUCGAAUCUGGAUGGUGUUUGUGUACUUCUGGUACACUACAUGUACAGUAUAUUCCAAUAUGAACAGUUUAGUUUAUAUGUCAAUGGAUUUCAAUACAGUUCAGUUACAGAGAUUAAUAUCACAUGGAAGAACAAAAAAACCUCUUCACCAGAAUUCCCAUUUUGGGAAUCAUUGCAGGACAUCAUGCUUUGUCAUUUCAUGAUCAGCCUACGACUAGAAAACACAUGUACAAUGUCCCAAUAGCUAGCUAUAUAUAUAUAUCUAGUAGUACUGUGAAUUUCAUUGUGUAUGUUUUCUAAGGGUGUGUAAUAACUGAUUUGAUUAAUCAAUACAUUGAUAAAAACAUUGGAAAUAAAAUUAGGUUUAAGACACAUUUAAUUUGUGGAAUUCUCUAAACCUUAUUUGUGUUUGUAGAUAACCAAGACUGUUUCUUAAAUGUAUUGUAAUAUUUCAAUGAACAUCACCAUCCAAUGAUGAAGAGAUAAAAUGGUGACGUCUGUCUAGGGUCAGGUUGACAUUAUACUCGUGUAAGUCUCGGAUCAUAAGUUUCAUUCAUUAUUUGACAUUUGAUAGUCACCCCAUUGAUGCUGUAUGAACCUUUUGUGUACAUGUUAUAUAGCUAUAUACAUUGUAUAUAUAGAUAUAGGGUUGUGUCUUUUUCAUUGGAGAAACAACAACUUAUUAUAUAUAUAAACAAGAGACAUUUUAGCAUUACUAGUAUUGUUCUAUCCGCUUAUAGGCCUUAUUACAAGUGUAAAAGUUGAUAUAUUCAUUACAGAGACCCACAGGUUAUAUAAAAUAUGUCUUAUCAAAUUAGUUUGAAGCUAUAAGACUACAGUUGUACAUUCUGUAUUGGUUACAUUGCUAUAUCCCAGAACUGGUAAUCCUGCAGUGGAAUAAAAUAUAUCAUAAAGAA